CUGCAUUCAAGGGUGCAUAUCAACAGUAUGUAAAUGAUGAAUGAAGAUGAUUAUUUCUAAUGCACAAGAUCAGCAAAUACUUAUGUUUUGCGGUAUGUAAAACAUGUAUAUGAACAAAUGUAAAUUUAUUGCAUAAACAUACUUGCAAUGGGUUUUGGAAAAACUGAAAAGAAAAGAUUACAAGUUUUGUAAAUUUGAGACACUCAAGAUUUCUUAGAGAAACUCUCUAUCUAACUCUUCG
This 241-nucleotide long non-coding RNA is filed under the name Cicer arietinum (chickpea). RNAcentral's name for it is "long non-coding RNA (CARI_LNC002808)". The record is from RNAcentral. Lineage: Eukaryota; Viridiplantae; Streptophyta; Magnoliopsida; Fabales; Fabaceae.